CCUACGGGAGGCUGCAGUGGGGAAUAUUGGACAAUGGGGGGAACCCUGAUCCAGCCAUGCCGCGUGUGUGAAGAAGGCCCUCGGGUUGUAAAGCACUUUCAGUGAGGAAGAACGCCUGGUGGUUAAUACCCAUCAGGAAAGACAUCACUCACAGAAGAAGCACCGGCUAACUCCGUGCCAGCAGCCGCGGUAAUACGGAGGGUGCGAGCGUUAAUCGGAAUUACUGGGCGUAAAGCGCGCGUAGGUGGCUUGAUAAGCCGGUUGUGAAAGCCCCGGGCUCAACCUGGGAACGGCAUCCGGAACUGUCAAGCUAGAGUGCAGGAGAGGAAGGUAGAAUUCCCGGUGUAGCGGUGAAAUGCGUAGAGAUCGGGAGGAAUACCAGUGGCGAAGGCGGCCUUCUGGACUGACACUGACACUGAGGUGCGAAAGCGUGGGUAGCAAACAGGAUUAGAUACCCUGUUAGUC
This 465-nucleotide ribosomal RNA is filed under the name Vreelandella stevensii. RNAcentral's name for it is "partial 16S ribosomal RNA". It matches the Rfam family "Bacterial small subunit ribosomal RNA", at positions 338 to 795 of the family's 1533-position model. Lineage: Bacteria; Pseudomonadati; Pseudomonadota; Gammaproteobacteria; Oceanospirillales; Halomonadaceae. The record is from RNAcentral.